GACGAACGCUGGCGGCGUGCCUAACACAUGCAAGUCGAACGGAGAUGAUGGGAUAGCUUGCUAUUUAAUCAUCUUAGUGGCGGACGGGUGAGUAACACGUGGGCAACCUGCCCCAAAGAGGGGGAUAACACCGAGAAAUCGGUGCUAAUACCGCAUAACAUUAGAGCUUCGCAUGGAGCUUUAAUCAAAGGAGCAAUCCGCUUUGGGAUGGGCCCGCGUCUGAUUAGCUAGUUGGUGAGGUAACGGCUCACCAAGGCGACGAUCAGUAGCCGAUCUGAGAGGAUGACCGGCCACACUGGAACUGAGACACGGUCCAGACUCCUACGGGAGGCAGCAGUGGGGAAUAUUGCACAAUGGGGGAAACCCUGAUGCAGCAACGCCGCGUGGAGGAAGAAGGUCUUCGGAUUGUAAACUCCUGUCUUCUGGGACGAAUAAUGACGGUACCAGAGGAGGAAGCCACGGCUAACUACGUGCCAGCAGCCGACGGUAAAACG
This 494-nucleotide ribosomal RNA is filed under the name uncultured bacterium. Its description in RNAcentral is "bacterial SSU rRNA". It matches the Rfam family "Bacterial small subunit ribosomal RNA", at positions 28 to 527 of the family's 1533-position model. The record is from RNAcentral.